Molecule: RNA transcript, 1501 nt
Organism: Homo sapiens (human)
Lineage: Eukaryota; Metazoa; Chordata; Mammalia; Primates; Hominidae
Gene: CRYBB2P1
Gene name: crystallin beta B2 pseudogene 1
Exons: 6
Source: RefSeq, marked validated
GUGCGUGGCGUGGAGUCCAGAAUGAGAAGAAGGAAAGCGGGGCCGGUUCCUUCAGGACCCGCCUCAGGGGGCACCGCGGCGGCUUGGGGACCACUUGGAGCCCCGUCCUGGGGAGAAAACAGCUCACGUCUAUGGCCCUGACUGCUUAGGCGGGAGCUGCGUGCAGCUCAGCUUCUCCGGGGCAUUUUUUUCUACACGGUUAUUGCUCUGUCACCCAGGCUGGAGUUCAGCAGUGCGAUCUUGGCUCAUUGCAGCCUUGAACCUCCCGGGCUCAAGUGAUCCUCCCUCCUCAACCUCCCAAGUAGCUGGGACUACAGCUGGGUGAGCUAUGAACAGGCCAACUGCAAGGGCGAGCAGUUUGUGUUUGAGAAGGGCGAGUACGCCCACUGGGACUGGUGGACCAGCAGCCAGAGGACAGACUCAGCAGCCUGAGGCCCAUCAAAGUGGACAGCCAAGAGCACAAGAUCAUCCUCUAUGAAAACCCCAACUUCACCGGGAAGAAGAUGGAAAUCAUAGAUGACGAUGUACCCAGCUUCCACGCCCAUGGCUACCAGGAGAAGGUGUCAUCUGUGUGGGUGCGGAGUGGCAUGUGGGUUGGCUACUAGUACCCUGGCUACCGUGGGCUGCAGUACCUGCUGGAGAAGGGAGACUACAAGGACAGCAGCGACUUUGGGGCCCGUCACCCUCAGGGACAUGGAUGAAGCUGGAAACCAUCAUUCUCAGCAAACUAACACAGAAGCAGAAAACCAAACACCACAUGUUCUCACUCAUAAGUGGGAGUUGAACAGUGAGAACACAUGGACACAAGGAGGGGAACAUCACACACCGAGGCCUGUCAGGGAGUGGGGGACAAGAGGGAGAGAGAGCAUUGGGACAAAUACCAAAUGCAUGCACGGCUUAAAACCUAGAUGACAGGUUGAUGGGUGCAGCAAACCACCAUGGCACAUGUAUACCUGUGUAACAAACCUGCACGUUCUGCACAUGUAUCCCAGAACUUAUAAUAAAAAAGAAACCAGUAAGUGCUCAAUAAAUGUUACUAACAUCUAUUUCUUCAUUCAUUCUUCAACCAUUACCCACUGAGUGCCUAUUUGGAUACUUGGCUUAGUACCUGGGUGAUGAAAUAAUCUACAGCAAACCCCCAUGGCAUGAGUUUAUAACAAACCUGCACAUGUAUCCCCGAACUUAAAAGUUAAAAAAACAGAAUCUGCACAAGUCUAAGCUACUUCCUUGAGGAAAAGACUCGAGCUGAGAUCUCAAAGAAGAGUAGAAGUUGCAGGGGUAAAGAGGCCAAAGAAGAGUGUCUCAGAUGAGAGCGGCACGUGCAAAGGCCCUGUGGUGGGAGGAGCCUGGUAGCUCUGAGAAACUCCACAAAGGCACGGUGGUGGCUGGAAUGCAGAGAUGUGGGGGCACAUUGAAAACCUUGUUAAAGUGCUUAAAAUGAUUAUCAUAAAGGUAGAAACUAAUAAGUGCUAAAUAAAUGUUAUUCUCGUCCGUUUCUCCA